GGGGUUGACUGGUUUCGACAGCAAGACCAAUGGGUAAGUAAGCAUGCAGAGAACCGUAGCGCGAUCUCUUAAAUCCCUUGCUACAACAUUUUAACUGGCAACGAAGAGUUCGCUCUUGCAGCUUAAUCCGAAGUUUAGUAGGUUUCAAGCGCUUUCCUGAAGAUAGUAAGGAAGCAAGAUGUCUCACAAAUGCUCUGUUCUGCGGCGUUUGAUUCUGAGGCAUAGGAAUGCGGAAAUAAGGUUCUGAAAGCUUCGGCCAGGACUCGAAAAUUUUAGAAGCUAAGGUUUAGGUUGGGUGUUUGCUCUCUGCCUGAGCCCGAAAACCAAUAGCAAAAUAAGCAUGUAGAAAGCUUGCGUAUUGCUUGUUUGGACGAGGGUUCGAAUCCCUCCAACUCCACUU
Molecule: transfer-messenger RNA, 400 nt
Filed under: Epilithonimonas mollis
Lineage: Bacteria; Pseudomonadati; Bacteroidota; Flavobacteriia; Flavobacteriales; Weeksellaceae
Description: Standard tmRNA
Rfam family: transfer-messenger RNA
About the family: Bacterial tmRNA, also known as 10Sa RNA or SsrA, is named for its dual tRNA and mRNA-like properties. Its role is to liberate the mRNA from a stalled ribosome.
Source: RNAcentral